GGGGCGUUAGGCAAGCGGUUUAAGCCAAUUGACUUUCUAUCAAUUAUUCGUGGGUUCGAAUCCCAUACGCCCUUCCA
Molecule: transfer RNA, 77 nt
Filed under: Bacillus anthracis (anthrax bacterium)
Lineage: Bacteria; Bacillati; Bacillota; Bacilli; Caryophanales; Bacillaceae
Also listed under: 5 other names
Description: tRNA-Glu
Rfam family: tRNA
About the family: Transfer RNA (tRNA) molecules are approximately 80 nucleotides in length. Their secondary structure includes four short double-helical elements and three loops (D, anti-codon, and T loops).
Source: RNAcentral